This 464-nucleotide ribosomal RNA is filed under the name uncultured bacterium. RNAcentral describes it as "partial 16S ribosomal RNA". It matches the Rfam family "Bacterial small subunit ribosomal RNA", at positions 339 to 795 of the family's 1533-position model. The record is from RNAcentral.
CUACGGGUCGCUCCAGUGGGGAAUAUUGCACAAUGGGCGCAAGCCUGAUGCAGCCAUGCCGCGUGUAUGAAGAAGGCCUUCGGGUUGUAAAGUACUUUUAGCGGGGAGGAAGGGAGUAAAGUUAAUACCUUUGCUCAUUGACGUUACCCGCAGAAGAAGCACCGGCUAACUCCGUGCCAGCAGCCGCGGUAAUACGGAGGGUGCAAGCGUUAAUCGGAAUUACUGGGCGUAAAGCGCACGCAGGCGGUUUGUUAAGUCAGAUGUGAAAUCCCCGGGCUCAACCUGGGGACUGCAUCUGAUACUGGCAAGCUUGAGUCUCGUAGAGGGGGGUAGAAUUCCAGGUGUAGCGGUGAAAUGCGUAGAGAUCUGGAGGAAUACCGGUGGCGAAGGCGGCCCCCUGGACGAAGACUGACGCUCAGGUGCGAAAGCGUGGGGAGCAAACAGGAUUAGAUACCCGGGUAGUC